This is a long non-coding RNA of Lacerta agilis (Sand lizard), 1226 nucleotides long. RefSeq lists it as uncharacterized. The transcript is spliced from 4 exons. The record is from RefSeq and is a predicted model, not a curated record. Lineage: Eukaryota; Metazoa; Chordata; Lepidosauria; Squamata; Lacertidae.
GUUAAAGUGGUAGAACAGUACUUUAAAAGUAUGGUGCAAAUGUGGCCUCGAAUUCUCUUAAUACCUGGUGUGUGAGGCCUGUCAGAGGCUCAUUAGUGUUGAGAGGAAAGGGACAAACCGCAGCAGCUUACUGACACAUUUCUUUUCUGAAUUUUUCCUUCUCCUGCUCCAGGAGAAAGACCCAGCAUGGAAAACAGGUUCUAAAAGAUUAAGCCAAUGAGGGGUGGCUAUCCGGGAACAAUUACCAAAUGAUGAAUCACUUCGGCUUGUAGUAUUUCAUGAAUGGGAAAGGAAGUUUUAAAUUAAAAUGUCAUACCAUGGCUGUGUGAUCAGGACUCUCGUCAUCGAUCAUCAAAAAUGAUUUCAUUUUUGUGGAAGAAGAAAAAAGAGUUCUCCAGUUGUUUCAUUCUCUCUGGUAGUGCUCCUAAAGCAAUAGAUCCUUGGGCAUAAUUAAGCACCAGCAAUGCAGCUCCUGGGAGGUAGCCCACAAGGAAAAUGCAACCUCUGCUGCAUCAAAUGUUAUCACCAGCAACUUGAGUUCAGCCCAGAACAAACUGGCAGCCAGAGCAGACCCAACCACACUGGCAUGAUCGACUCAAAGCAGACAGCACCCCUCAACAACCCAGCUGCAGAAAUCCAAAUGGUUUUCAGAAACAGAGCCGCAUAAGGCUCAUUAUCGUAACCUACGCUGAAAGCCAACAGGGUAUGAGGUACCAUGGCAAAGUCCAACUUUCUGUCAGGAAGGGUUGUGGUUGGUGACUCAGCCAGAACUGGAAAAAGCAAUCUAAAGGCUGCCUACCUACCACUGAUUUAAAAUCCAAGAGGGGCAACUGAAGGAAGGCUGACAAUUAAACCCCAUACUCGGCAAGUAAAUGCUUAUUUUGAAAAAUGACACACAAACCCUGGUUGAGAUCAGCUAUUCUUUGAUAUGUGAUAGAAAAAGUUCUAAGGCCUGCAAAUGCAACAAUAAUAAGAAAUAAUGCUUCUGUCACAGAGUUGUGAUAUGCACUGGAAAAGUCUGAAUUCUAUAAAAGAGGCAGUAUCUAGUUUGCUUUAUUCCUUAGAAAGGGUUGUAAAGAAUACUUGUGCAUUCUUAGCUGUGUUAUACUAAUGGAACUAAGAUAUUUAUGCUGGCUUCAGUUCCACCCAAAUCCUAUUAUGCAAGCUUCUAUGAACUUACACAUUUUUCAUUUAGCUGUGUAAGCCUUUUUAAUAAACAGACCUGU